GACAGAGGGUGCAAACGUUGUUCGGAAUUACUGGGCGUAAAGCGCGUGUAGGCGGUCGUGCAAGUCGGGUGUGAAAGCCCUCGGCUCAACCGGGGAAGUGCACUCGAAACUGCAUGACUAGAGUCUCGGAGAGGAUAGUGGAAUUCUCGGUGUAGAGGUGAAAUUCGUAGAUAUCGAGAGGAACACCGGUGGCGAAGGCGGCUAUCUAGACGAUGACUGACGCUGAGACGCGAAAGCGUGGGGAGCGAACAGG
This 253-nucleotide ribosomal RNA is filed under the name uncultured bacterium. Its description in RNAcentral is "partial 16S ribosomal RNA". It matches the Rfam family "Bacterial small subunit ribosomal RNA", at positions 524 to 776 of the family's 1533-position model. The record is from RNAcentral.